GCCCGCGUGGCCUAAUGGAUAAGGCGUCUGACUUCUAAUCAGAAGAUUGCCGGUUCGAUCCCGGCCGUGGGCU
Molecule: non-coding RNA, 73 nt
Organism: Heligmosomoides polygyrus
Lineage: Eukaryota; Metazoa; Nematoda; Chromadorea; Rhabditida; Heligmosomidae
Source: Rfam